Molecule: ribosomal RNA, 253 nt
Filed under: uncultured bacterium
Lineage: Bacteria
Description: partial 16S ribosomal RNA
Rfam family: Bacterial small subunit ribosomal RNA
Source: RNAcentral
UACGUAGGGGGCAAGCGUUGUCCGGAUUUAUUGGGCGUAAAGAGCGUGUAGGCGGCCUGACAGGUCUGCUGUGAAAACUCGGAGGCUCAACCUCGAGAUGUCGGCGGAAACCGUCUGGCUAGAGUCCGGAAGAGGAGAGUGGAAUUCCUGGUGUAGCGGUGAAAUGCGCAGAUAUCAGGAAGAACACCUAUGGCGAAGGCAGCUCUCUGGGACGGUACUGACGCGAGACGCGAAAGCGUGGGGAGCGAACAGG